Molecule: unclassified non-coding RNA, 408 nt
Filed under: fungal sp.
Lineage: Eukaryota; Fungi
Description: partial internal transcribed spacer region
Source: RNAcentral
AAGUCGUAACAAGGUUUUCUCUGCCGGAGUGGCUUGAUGCUCGCUUUUUUUGUAUCCGACUCUAACUCUCAGUUCGAUGGGAAUGCUCUGACGCGUUCUUGUUUCGAUUCACAGUCCUUUUUUGAACCUUUGGGAAAAAUUAUCCGUUCUGAGCCGGAUUUUUGAUCCCUUUGGAGAGAACGGGGACGUACACUUGGUCUUGAAAUUCUUUGGGAAGAUGCCGUUCUGCGCCGGAUCUCCUCAACGUCGGAAGAGACACGGUGGGUGGAUUGGGACUUUUUCUCGGAUGAGAUCGCCUCAUGGAUAGCCGUUGUGGCACCACCAAAAACAUUGCCAGUACCAUGCUCCGGUAAAACGGAAGCAUUAUAGUAACCCGAACAACUGUUAACAAUGGAUAUCUUGGUUCUC